CCUACGGGAGGCAGCAGUGGGGAAUAUUGGGCAAUGGGCACAAGCCUGACCCAGUAACGCCGCGUGAAGGAAGAAGGCUUUCGGGUUGUAAACUUCUUUUGUCAGGGAAGAGUAGAAGACGGUACCUGACGAAUAAGCCACGGCUAACUACGUGCCAGCAGCCGCGGUAAUACGUAGGUGGCAAGCGUUGUCCGGAUUUACUGGGUGUAAAGGGCGUGUAGCCGGGUUGACAAGUCAGAUGUGAAAUCCUGCGGCUUAACCGCAGAACUGCAUUUGAAACUGUUGAUCUUGAGUACUGGAGAGGCAGACGGAAUUCCUAGUGUAGCGGUGAAAUGCGUAGAUAUUAGGAGGAACACCAGUGGCGAAGGCGGUCUGCUGGACAGCAACUGACGGUGAGGCGCGAAAGCGUGGGGAGCAAACAGGAUUAGAUACCCCAGUAGUC
Molecule: ribosomal RNA, 442 nt
Filed under: uncultured bacterium
Lineage: Bacteria
Description: partial 16S ribosomal RNA
Rfam family: Bacterial small subunit ribosomal RNA
Source: RNAcentral